GCCUGAUUGGCUCAGUCGGUUAAGCGUCUGACUUUGGCUCAGGUCGUGAUCUCAUGGUUCAUGGGUUCGAGCCCCACAUUGAGCC
This 85-nucleotide transfer RNA is filed under the name Felis catus (domestic cat). It matches the Rfam family "tRNA". Rfam says of the family: Transfer RNA (tRNA) molecules are approximately 80 nucleotides in length. Their secondary structure includes four short double-helical elements and three loops (D, anti-codon, and T loops). Lineage: Eukaryota; Metazoa; Chordata; Mammalia; Carnivora; Felidae. The record is from Rfam by way of RNAcentral.